Molecule: long non-coding RNA, 4335 nt
Organism: Physeter macrocephalus (sperm whale)
Lineage: Eukaryota; Metazoa; Chordata; Mammalia; Artiodactyla; Physeteridae
Exons: 3
Source: RefSeq, a predicted model, not a curated record
UUGAAGUUGAAACUCUAGCACAUGGUGGGGUGGGCAGUAAUGACGAAGUGUUGAUUUGACCUUAGGUGUCUUGACACCAGUGUGGCUGUAUAGGGACAUGGAAAGAAUUAGCUUUCAGGGUCCCCCUGCCUCAAUAAAGGAAAGUUGUUUCCAAGCUAAUUAAUAUGGUUUAUUCACUAUUAGGCAGUAGUACGUGGAAUUGGAUCCUGGGAAGGAACGAUGCAGCCGCGCUAAGGGGAAAGUAUCUCAGGACACACCGUGUUAAUUCCGUCUUGUCCGGCGUUUCCCUCUUCAGAGGACGUAGUCUUUUCCUUGGUUUUCCCAGUGUGACAAGCACACCAGAAUUCCACGCUGCGUCGUGCCUGACGGGCUAAGCCUUUCUGGGGGUGCGUUAAUACUGAGAGGCUGGGCAGGCGCAUAAAUACACAUGGGGAGGGAAGGGGGGGCCUUCCCAGGUGACCUGGGCUUGUGCCAUCGCUGUGUCAGCCUGAGGUCCUGGUUAGGGGCAGAUCACACACGUGUGGCCCCGAGUUCUGAGCGUGGGGAGAGGCCGCAUCCCAGCAGCUGCCGGCCCCUCCCCCUCCCCGCGUUGCUCAGAGAUGCCCGUCUGCGCCCCCAGCAGCCCCGCAGGCAUGCAGCAUGCAGCUCUGGUUACCGCGCCCAGUCAGCUGAGGGCAGCCCGAGGCCAUCCCUUUGUGGGUCAUCAUGCAUCCCUGGGUGUGUGGCAGACCCGCUGAGGGUGGUCAGGUGUGAACCAGGAGCUGGAGGGGGUGGGGAGGGGCCCAGGCUGCUCAGGGGUCCCGUGAACUGUAUUCCAGGAGCUGCGGCCUGUGCCCUUGACUUGACUUCCGGCACUUCUGUCUGGGCAUGUCCCUCUUUGGCCAGAAGGACUUCUUUUUUGCUGCUAGGGGCAGGUCGGUUUUAGGGGCUGGACGUUUGGUUUCUCUGUGGAUUUCCGGGUUCCACCUCUACUCAGGACUUUUCCCCGCCUGCCACCCUUGAACUUGAGAUAGUUGUGAGGCCCUGCUGUGGAUACGCGGGCAAGCCCCCGGCACCCGCGUCCCGUGUCCUCGCAUCCUCAUCGUGAUUCCGCCGUGGAGGGUCACCCCCCUUUUACACAGAUUGACACCCCGAAAUGGUGCUGUGUGGCUAGUGUGUGCAGCAGGAGGGGUGAAUAGGUUGACACAGGGCUUGCACGCGGACCUUCAGGUCACCACGGCUCCCUGAGCUGGGGCUCGAGUUCCGCGUCUGUGGGUCCCUCUUGCAGCAGCCCGUGGGCAGGUGGCUCCUUCCCUGAGGCACCGGUGGGCAGCAGGUGGCCCUGAGGUCGCCGUGGGCCCUGCAGCUGUGGGCGGACCAGCGAUACAUCAUCACUUCAGCAGGGCUCAGUCUUAAAUUUGAUGACAACAGGUGCCUUCUUGAGAGGGCCAGCCGGCAACAGCAGCAGCGUCCGAGCCAAGAGAACACUGAUGAGAGAGAAGGCCGGGGUUUCUGGAUGGUUCUUCCCCCAGCCCUUUGUUCCUUUUCUGAGCACAGCCAUGCCGCAGGACUGUCACCAAGGGGAGGGCGAGGCCACCCUGCGGGGGAGCGUGUAGGUCCCUCAGAGACGCGGUGAGGAGUAUUGGACUCUUAGGCCAAACGGGAACCAUUUAUCUCGUGAUUUGAGCAGAGACCGGUUUGGUUCUUAGCAGACGCUGACGAUGACACCCUUGUCCCGUGUCCUGGAGUCGCGUGCCAAGCCUGACGGUGACUGGCAUUUACCGAGGACUGGCCGUGCACAGGCCGAGCGCCGAGCUCCCCGGGCAUUACCACUUUGAAGGGACCCGAUCACCUGUGAAGCAGGUGCUGCCUUCUCCAUCUCAGGACAGAGUCCCAGGGCGGUGGUCACCUUGACCCGUGGAGCCUGGGCUGCUUCUCUGCAGUGUCCUGUUAACUCCGAGCUCUCUCCCCUGUCCUUUCCCACCAGCCCCUCUAGUGCAGUAAAUCUGUGAGGGCCAAGGGAUGAUUCUGCGGACGACUUUCUGGUUCUCGGUUUAAGUAGUAAGUGUGCAUGGGGCCCCCUGGAUCUGACAUGAGCCCAGCGUGAAGGAGGGCAGGUUCCAGAUAAGGCCAGUGCUCUCCUCAAGCCUGGGCCUCCUGCUUCUGUCCACAGUUACCACAUGAGGAUCUCUCUCCUGCUAAGAAAUGUCCAAGCCAGGCCUCGCUUUUGCUCACUGGCCAGCCAGGAGGAGAGAAAGCAGAGGCGCUUUCCUUGGAAGCAGUGGGUGAAGGGGCCCCCACCUGCCAUAGCAGGACAGAGGACGGGCGUUUUAAAGCCUAGAUGACCCAAAUAUGAGUCAGGCAGAGCAAAGAAUUCAAGUGGGGUUCAGGCAGGCCCCGGGUGGUAACAAGAGCUGACACAUCAAAGCGUUAGAGGCUUUAGAAAUAAUUCAUGCAGAGUAAGUGCAAGUAAGUGGGCACUUGGUGAUGCCUGUCGCAGGCUGAGGGGGGAUGCCGGGGCGCCCACGCUGAGCCUGUGUGCCCCUCUUCUCUCUCUAGAGUUUGGAUGAUGCAGGGCACAGAGCAGAGCGCAGGAGCCGUUCCGAAAGAGGGCGAAGUUCAAGUGGGGGCCAGACUGGUCCUCCCGGAAUGAGCCAGGGCAGAGUCUCUCAGGACCCCCCCCCCCGCUUCCAGACCUUUAUAGAGCUCAUCUCAUUUCAGUUUCAGAAAAGUAGACUUAUUAACUGUAGACCUAGAAGGUAAUUUUCAUAUGCCCGACUCAGUGUAAGAAGAAACUAAAAAUCCAGGUGGUAGGGACCCUUCUAGGUGAUGUGUCCUGAAUUUAUGUUUCCUAUAUGAAAGCCCCAGCCCCGGCGUGGACUCCACCAGGCUCUGGGUACUGCUCUUCCCUCCCUCUGUGUGAGUGUGUGCGCGUGCGUGCGCCCAUGCACGCACGCGCACACCCCCCCACCGCCACACCCCCUCAUCGUCAUCAACUACGGGUGGAACACGUUUGCCAAGUGACGUUUAAUAGAUUCACCGAGGUUGAUCAUACGGGCCAAAAAUAGAUGCCCUUUUCCAUGGCCAGAAGCAGCGGAGUGAACUUGGAGCUGCCUGGCAUUUACUGGCCGAGGCUGAGUUACUUGGUGGAACAGCCCGCUUAGCUUCCUGGGGUUGCUCGGGUAGGAGCGGGGGUGAUUUUAAUUAGCUAAGUCAUUCCUGUGUCUUGUUGUACUCCUAGAAGUUCUUGGAGGAAUCCUGCCAAGAACGUUUCCCCUGGCAAAUCUGCGGGGCGCUACUCCCUGUUGCCCUGUCGUCCAGGAUCUACGGAACCAAGUGUUUUUGAAUUUUUAGCCCUUUUCGCCUUUCUGUAGCUGCAUUCUUUUUCAAGUGCUUCUUUCCACCUUCACGUAACAAUGGGCACUUGCUUUAAAGAGUCUGACAGUCUUCCAAGCUUUUUAAUGUGCUUAAUCCACGAAAUAAGCUGUCACCGUUCAGUUGGGCAGUCUGCAGGCUCUUCUGAAUUUUUGGCUUAAAAUUCCGUGAAAUGUCACCGGCCGAGUUGUCUGUUCCUUGUUUAAUUACUUUGCCUAUGAAGUAUCUCAAGGAAAGAACCUGUGCCCACCAGUAAGAUUAGGUAGGUGUUAACAUGUUGCUUUUGUCUUCAGACCUUAGUUGAAAAGAAUGUUACAGACAGGCGUGUGUGUGUGUGUGUGUGUGUGUGUGUGUGUGUGUGUGUGUGUGUGUGUGUGUGUAUGUAUAUAUAUAUAUAUAUAUGCAGUUAGUUACAUAUCUGAUUUCCAGCUGUAUUCCAGACAAGGAAGACUUUGGAGAUGAAUAACGCGUGAUCAAGGCAUUUAAACAUUUAGAGACUUGGCGAUGGGUAGAGUAUGUCACAGCCUGGCAGUCAGGAGUGAAGGUGUCACAGAUGUCUAGGGGUUUCAUCGCCUUAAAUGGUUUUGAACCAAUGAAGCUGGAUUCUCUUAAAAAGACGGACAGCCCAUCGUGUGAACUAUAGAGUUUGUGGACAAAUUUAUAUUGGGCGCGUAGUGGCGUAAUGCCUGCAGACUCCUGCGAGGGCCCCUAAGUUCUUAGAGGACCGCUUUGCCUUUUGAAUCAGAGAGGUGCAAAGUUCGAUAAAGAAUGGCCCUUGUGGAUAAGCACAAAGUCAAGCGACAGCGAUUGGACAGAAUUUGUGAAGGUAAGAGCCAGCGUGAUUGGCGGUUUUUAACCAAAGACGCGUAGACCCGCCCUGGAAUCCUGCACCUGGUCUCCUAGCCAGGCUGCGACCCACACCCCACCCCCAGCUCCUCCCACCGUCCCACACCCUCUGCCAGUGUCCUUGGUGGUGUCCUU